ACGGGAGGCAGCAGUGGGGAAUAUUGCACAAUGGGGGAAACCCUGAUGCAGCGACGCCGCGUGAGUGAUGAAGUAUUUCGGUAUGUAAAGCUCUAUCAGUAGGGAAGAAAAUGACGGUACCUAACUAAGAAGCCCCGGCUAACUACGUGCCAGCAGCCGCGGUAAUACGUAGGGGGCAAGCGUUAUCCGGAUUUACUGGGUGUAAAGGGAGCGUAGACGGUUUGGCAAGUCAGAAGUGAAAGGCGGGGGCUCAACCCCUGGACUGCUUUUGAAACUGUUAAACUAGAGUGUCGGAGAGGUAAGUGGAAUUCCUAGUGUAGCGGUGAAAUGCGUAGAUAUUAGGAGGAACACCAGAGGCGAAGGCGGCUUACUGGACGAUUACUGACGUUGAGGCUCGAAAGCGUGGGGAGCAAACAGGAUUAGAUACCCUGGUA
RNAcentral lists this ribosomal RNA (434 nucleotides) under uncultured Lachnospiraceae bacterium. RNAcentral describes it as "partial 16S ribosomal RNA". It matches the Rfam family "Bacterial small subunit ribosomal RNA", at positions 341 to 792 of the family's 1533-position model. The record is from RNAcentral. Lineage: Bacteria; Bacillati; Bacillota; Clostridia; Lachnospirales; Lachnospiraceae.